This 337-nucleotide unclassified non-coding RNA is filed under the name soil metagenome. RNAcentral describes it as "partial contains 5.8S ribosomal RNA, internal transcribed spacer 2, and large subunit ribosomal RNA". The stretch from base 1 to 120 matches the Rfam family "5.8S ribosomal RNA", at positions 35 to 154 of the family's 154-position model. The record is from RNAcentral.
GAUGAAGAACGCAGCGAAAUGCGAUAAGUAGUGUGAAUUGCAGACUUUAGUGAAUCAUCGAAUCUUUGAACGCACAUUGCGCCCCUUGGUAUUCCAUGGGGCAUGCCUGUUCGAGCGUCAUUUGUACCUUCAAGCUCUGCUUGGUGUUGGGUGUUUGUCUCGCCUCUGCGUGUAGACUCGCCUCAAAACAAUUGGCAGCCGGCGUAUUGAUUUCGGAGCGCAGUACAUCUCGCGCUUUGCACUCAUAACGACGACGUCCAAAAGUACAUUUUUACACUCUUGACCUCGGAUCAGGUAGGGAUACCCGCUGAACUUAAGCAUAUCAAUAAGCGGAGGA